UACAGGAGUGGUCAUCUAGAAAAAGUUGUUUUUCAUUUAUGUCUUUCAGGGGGGAGAUGUGAAAAUUAUUGACCGCUUUCAUGUUCCAUGUUCUCUCUACAGACAACAAGCCAGAAAUAACGUGCUGGUUUGGAAGAGUGAAAGGUCAGUUUAAAAUGCCAGCACCUACUGUUUAAUGUAGGAAGAGAAACUGGCAAACCGUCUCAGACACUGAGAGGUUUUCUGGCUGCUGAGGAGGGGAGGGAGGCUGUGGGCCGUGGGGCCCAUCUCAGGUUUGCAAGGAGAGUCUGGACGUCGAUUUUAAGUUGGUUAUUAUCACCAUGGCUGUAGAGGCUUAUAUGGCCCCCGACUGAGAGGUGAGUUUUCUUUGUAAUUAAACCAACAGAGCACUGGACAGUACCAUUUUGUGAGGAAGGGUUGGAACACAAUCCCGUUAGGCCUUCAUUUAUUUAGGGCAGUAGGAAUGGAGUCUUCAGCAUCAUCGUGGAUACUAUGCCAGUUAAUUGAGUUUCCACACGAGAUCUUACAUAGACUGGCGCUUUUCAAAGAGUCUGGUACAUGGUGAAAUGAUUUGCAAGGUGCUCUCAAAGGUGGGUCAAGGAUCACCACAGGGGACAAGGGGGAGGUAGGUGACAGGGCCCGGCUACUUUCCUUACUCUAGAAAUUUCACUUGUGUUUUAUAUAUUCAGUGUUUUAGCUUUAACACACUUUUUAAAAGAAAUAAACGUUUGAACAAACUUGAAUGCUACUGAAGCGUUUCAGUCUUUCAGUGAAACGCUUUAAGUAGUUUUAAAACAUUUUUUAAAUUUAAAAAUGCUUUGGAAUGAUUGCUACACUCAUUACAAUAAUCAUGAUUGUGGGGGAAUCAUUGAUCGCAGCAGCGAUGUCCUCUGGUUUGAAAGUGAUUACCUGAUGUAGACCUUUUUGGUUUACUGUUUGGACUACUUUUGUUCAGGACACUUGGGGGAGUGUUGCCAUUUCAAAAUUUGACUGCUCUCCGCUGUUGAUUUCCUAGGUCACUGCCUCACUGUGCGCAUUUCACCUGCAGGAUUAGAAAUAAAUGAAUUUUAUAAAAGUACUCACUGAUCCAAAAUAGAAGUAGGAAACUGUCCCAAACCUUCUAAAAUAAAAAGCUCUCUAGAGAGAAACAUACCAGACCCAGCUGCUUGGGCAGGACCAAUGAUAAAUGCAAAUCACAGGCUUCCUUUUUCUUCCACCGCAAAUGUCAGAAAUGCUUGGCAUCUGAGUUACAUUGCAUUUUCCUUCCUUUUCGGAACAGCUUAACUCGGAAAGGUCAACGUAUCCCUUUGGGAAAAAUCUUUCCUUAUAAAUUGGAAUAUUUGCACACGCAACUGUAGGAAGUAUUUAACAUUUGCUUUGAUGGGACAGCAAUUUGUUCAAUGGAGUGGAAUUAUUCUUUUUUUCCAUUUCCCCACCUGUUUGUACAUCACAGGCACCCAAGUCACUGAGAGCAACUCUGAGGCAAUUCUUUCACGGGGUCAGAUCAUCCUCUCCACAAAGCCAGCCAAUGCCUUAGGCUUCUGAAAGUCGGGCAUGUUGCACCCUUUAUUCCAUGUGGAGAGACUUUAUUCUGCAUAAAAGCAGGGAUAUUCUACAGACUGUGUACACUGAAAUCUUAAAGGAAGAGGCGCACAGGGAAGGGGAAGAGAAGCAGGAAAAGGAAGAGUUGCCCCAGGGUCUCCUGUUCUACCACUGUGCCCAUUUGUUCAAAUGUGAAUGAGACAUGCAGGGUCUCGUGUCUUCAGCGGGCUGCUUUGUUGGAGCCUUUUAGUGUCUGCAAGGAAGGAUGCAGGACCUUGAGACAACGGGACACUGGUAUUGCUGAUCACCUGCCUCCAAUACAACGAAAAGGUGAGAGGAUAAUGAAUCCAUCUGACACCGAGGAGAAGCUAUCCUACUUGUUACAGCCUCCACAGUUUGGGUUUAUAUGUCAUUUUAUGAAAAAGAGAAACUGCUUCCCCACCGCACAGGAAAAGCCCACUCACCUUUCAUGAAGCCGGC
Chinchilla lanigera (long-tailed chinchilla) is the source of this 2022-nucleotide long non-coding RNA. RefSeq lists it as uncharacterized. The transcript is spliced from 3 exons. The record is from RefSeq and is a predicted model, not a curated record. Lineage: Eukaryota; Metazoa; Chordata; Mammalia; Rodentia; Chinchillidae.